This 68-nucleotide transfer RNA is filed under the name Trinomys moojeni (Moojen's Atlantic spiny rat). Its description in RNAcentral is "tRNA-Val". Lineage: Eukaryota; Metazoa; Chordata; Mammalia; Rodentia; Echimyidae. The record is from RNAcentral.
CAAAGUAUAGCUUAACUAAAAGCAUCCGGCCUACGCCCGGAAGAUAUCAAACAUAUUGAUCACUUUGA